Molecule: ribosomal RNA, 301 nt
Filed under: uncultured bacterium
Lineage: Bacteria
Description: partial 16S ribosomal RNA
Rfam family: Bacterial small subunit ribosomal RNA
Source: RNAcentral
CAGCCGCCACGGUAAUACGAAGGGUGCAAGCGUUAAUCGGAAUUACUGGGCGUAAAGCGUGCGUAGGCGGUUUGUUAAGUCUGCUGUGAAAUCCCCGGGCUCAACCUGGGAAUGGCAGUGGAUACUGGCUCGCUAGAGUGUGUCAGAGGAUGGUGGAAUUCCCGGUGUAGCGGUGAAAUGCGUAGAGAUCGGGAGGAACAUCAGUGGCGAAGGCGGCCAUCUGGGACAACACUGACGCUGAGGCACGAAAGCGUGGGGAGCAAACAGGAUUAGAUACCCCCGUAGUCCCUGUCUCUUAUAC